GAGAAGAUAAAGUGAUGCUUUCUGCGUCCUUCUUUGUUGUCAGGGUGACCCAUCCUGGCUGCAUAGCAUCACGCAGGAGGAAGCCAGUGCUAAUGCAGGCUUGCCUGGCACCCUGAUUUCCAGCCAGAGUUGAUGAGGACUGCAUGCAAGAAAGACUAAUCCAGACUGUGUACUUAGCGAGCACGAUUAUUUAGGAAAAUAAGAAGCAGCCAUCAGAUGACCAAAAUUAAACUGUCAUUCUCCCAGGCUCCACCUGCACCCAGACUGCAGUCGCAAGGAUUCUCCACUCGAUGGCUGGUUGUGUCACUGCUAGUCGACAGCUGUCCCGCAUCCAGAGAGGACUGGGAUUGAUUUAGCCUUUACUCCUGCAGGUAGAGCAGCGUGGUGUCCGAAGCCCCCAAACUGCACACACGCAUGGUGGGAGACCAGCCGUACCCCAUCAGAGGCAGUUUGGUGACCAGGCUUGGAGCAGUACCUGCUCAGCUGAAUAUGCAUGCUAGAAGCCACCGUAAACAGCCAGACUGCAUCUCAGCUCCUGGCUAAAUAAAGGUUGUCCUGAAAUCACAUGCUCCCAAGGACUGAGGAAUGCUAAUUCUCAACUGCAAAUAUUGAUCAACAGACUAUAUAGCAAAGAAUAAGCAAAAAAAAAAAAGGGGGGGUGGGAAAAUGGACAAAACUCUUGAUCAAAGAAAGUCAAUCGAAAUCCUAUAUGGUUAAUAUAUUUCAGUUAAUUUGUUCAGAAGAUUAAGGUACAUCUUUUAUUUUUCUUUUGCAUUUUGGAAAGAGAAUCCAGUAAUAAUGUGGCUUUUAAUGCCUGUUUGAAUCUUAAAUGUCUCCCAGUUUUUUUUGUUUUGUUUUUUUUUUUUUUUUCUGUGUUAGGAAUCAAACUCAGGACCUCGUGCCCACCAGGGAGGCACGUAUGCCACUAAGCUAUAUCCCUGGCCUUGUCUUCCAAUUCUUGUUUACAGGGGAGGUCCACACCCACCCUGAUGGCACCAUUGGAUUGGGAUAGGGUGAAACAUUUAGGGAGUGGCCCUAGUAGCAGAGAGUGACAUCACUGGGGGCAUGUCCUUGUAGGGAAUACUGGGAAUUAGGUCCCUUUCUCUCAUCCUUGCUUCCUAGCUGCUAUGAUGGGAGUAGCUUGUUCUACCAUGUGUGCUGCCCGGGCAUAGGCUCAAAGUGACAGAGGCAGGUGACCAUGAACUGAUACUUCUAAAACCGUAAGCCAACAUAAAUCUUUCCUCCUUUCAGGUUAUUAAUCUUGGGUAUUUGUCACAGCUAUGGAACACCAACACAGUGCCAGUGCUAGAAACCUCUGUUUAGUUCAGAUCAGGGGAAACUUUUUCUUCCCAGCCCUCUGAACUCUGCAAUCUGAUUUUUUUUUAAGCCCGCAUACCCUGUGGCAGUCUUGUAUAAUCUGUAGCUCACUUCUCAAGAAUAUUUUUCUAUGUAGAUGUGGUGAAAAAAAUGGGAAAUUAAUCAUAUUAAAUGUCUUACUUAAGAACCUUCACCUUAGAAAAAGCAAAAAUACUUCCAAGAUGAAAUUGCAAAGUGAGUUUGGUUGUGUCUGCCGAGGAUUACCUGGUAAAGAAGCAAGUUCAAGGAGAAGCUAGAUAAGAUAAGGGGGUAGGGAGGGGAACAGAAAAAAUUUAUUGAAUCUGAUUUCUUAAAGUGGCCCUGGUGGGGACCAGCAGAUUCCCCUAUUCAUGUUUUUUAAAAACACUGUAUUUUCCACACUGAUUAAUUCACGUGGUGUAGAUACUUCUGACGGUCCUUGAAGGCAGGCAAAUGAAGGGAAUUGAAUCUUUCAGCUUAUACAGGUUUGGGAGGAAUUGAAACUCAAACAAAUUUGAAUUUUGUUGCAGUAUUUUCUAAGUGGCCAGGAAGUCUAGCACCCAAGUCUUCUAAACCCCAAUCAGGUACAUAUUUAUAGUCACUGAUGUGCUGGAGCCAGCUGAUGAUAUUAAUAUUCUCUAAUAUUCAGGAAUUUUACUCAGUACUAAACCAUUAGCAGCUUGAAGUCAACCAUACAGAAGAAUUUACACCACAGACACUGGCAAACUUUCCAGGUGUAGUGGCACACUGCUAUAAUCCUAGCACUUGGGAGGCGGAGGCAGGAGGAUUGUUAGAAGUUCGAGACCAGCCUGGGCUACAAAGUGAACUGAAGACCAGCCUGAAUUGCACAGUGAGGCCCUGUCUCAAAAAAAAAAAAAAAAAAAAAAAAGAAAGAAAGAAAGAAAAGAAAAGAAAAAAAGAGAAAAAGAAAUUGGCAAACUGUAAAUCAGGGGUGUUGCUUUUCUCAAAACAGCAGCUUUACAUGUUGUAAUAUAGUUAAUUAUGUCAAUUUGCCUCGUGUACUAAUUCGCCUUUAUUUGGAUCCUAUUAUCCAAAAUGCUGAAAUGGGUUAGUGUGAAGCUCUAAGGUCAAAAGGCCUGUUUUUGGUUCCUGCCUAUGCCACUGAUUAUGUGUGUGAUUUGAGGCAAGGUAAUUUACCUCUCUGGUAUUCAACUUCCUCUAUGUCAGACAGGACUAAAACACUGGUGCCAUUUAGUUUAUUACACGUGUGACAGGAAUUGGUGCAUGUAAACUACUUAGCUUGGAUCCUCACAAAUAUGAGAUCCCACUGGCUGUGUUAGGCAUGAUUACUUUCCUCUUUCUCUUCUUCUUAAUCCUCCUCCUUUUUCUUAUUCAUCUGUUCAGAAGGGCAGAUUGACAUUAUUUGUGCUGACAUUAAGGGAAAACAUUGUUGGGAGAGUAUAAGCAACAACAACACAAAAGGAAAUAAAACACCAUAUACAAACUACUUGAAUUCUAGAUCAUAAAAAUGUGGUUCCUAACUUUUCUGUGUUAUAGAGAUUUGAUAUGUUGUUGUUAUUUUUUGUAUAAAUUCUGUAUAAAUUUUUUGUAUAAAUAAGAGAACAACAAUUCAAGAUGGUAAUUAUUUGAUGGAUAUAAUUUCAGCAUGAUUUUAGAGAAACCAGAUUUUUUUUUUUGGUACUGGGGAUCAAACUCAUGACCUCACUCUGGGCCAGGCAGACGCUUACACCACUGAGCUAAAUCCCCAGCCCCUUAAUCCCCAGCCCCAACCAGAUUAAAACUAUAUAUUGUCAGAUUUCCAUUCUGCAUUUCAAAUCAGGCAACUUUGGGCCAAAGAUAUUAGGGACAAAAUUACUUCUACACUGAGCACAUACAGACUUUUUUCACAUCAUUACUCUAUAAAUAAUACAUAUUUCAACUAUUUACAUGGAAUUUACAUUUUAUUAGGCAUUAUAAGUAUUGUAAGCAUGACUUAAAAGCUAGAGAGUAUAUACUUCAGUUAUAUGCAAACACAUUGUCCAUACCCCAAAAUGCCAUCAAGUGUAACAGUAGAAGCUCUUUGUGACCAAGAGAUAUCAGCUUCCAAACUCCUGCAGAAAAUAAUUGUUUGAAAUCAAAUGCCAAUUCUGUGUAAUCACAGAACUUCAAAAACAAUAAAAACAUUGGCCAUUUACCAAGUGAUAUCAAUAUAGUCUAAAUUUUCUCCAAUCAUAAAUGGAAUAAUAUUGUCUUAAUUACUUUUCUCUCAUUGCUGAGACAAAAUACCCAACAAUCAAAAUUAAGGAAGGAAAGGUUCAUUUAGCUCACAGUUUGUGGAGGUUUCAGUCCAUAAUAAGCUGGCUCCAUGACAGGGUAGCAUGGCACAUGGACAAUACUUCAAGGAGGCAGAAAAUAACAAAAGCAGCGAGAGCAAAAAGGGGGAAGAACAAGCCUCUUCUCCUCUUUUAUAUUGUAAUCAGGCUACAACACAUCCCAAAGACAGGUAUAGCACUCACAUCCUUUCUGUGCCCUCUUCUUGCACAGGCUGAGGAUGUUUACAAAGUGAUGACCCUGGCUCCCUGAGUCACAUAGUUAAAUGUCUAAACUUUUCAAGUUGACAUAAUGUAUCAUUGAUAACAACCUACCCUUGUCAACUUGGCAACCAGACAUAUUUCUUUAAACUAGUUUCCAGAUACAAAGAUAUGCAUAUUCUUAACAUUUCAGAACUUGAACAUUAUAACAUAUAUUUAACAAUCCUUAAGAACCAAUGCUAAGUCUAUCAACAUUAUAUUACAUUAGAACCAUAACAUUUCACUCCUGGCCCCCCUCCCAAAGACUCAUGCACAUCCCUUUAUGCACUUAGUCCAUCUGGAAGACUUCUACGUGCAAAAGGCACUUAGUCCAUCUGGAAGAGUUGUCAAAGUCCUAAUAGUUUUAGCAUUGCUAAAAGGUCUAAGUUCCAAGUCUCCUCUGAGCUGUAAGGCAAACUCUUAGCUGCAAGCCCUUGUACAAAUGAAAAGUUAAACACUUCAGCAUUCAAUGGCACAAGAUAAACAUUUUCAUUACAAACAUUACAAACACAGGAAUUCAAAGGAUUUGGAACAAAACAAAUCCAAAAUCCAGCAGGGAAAAGUUAAGUCCUAUAGUUCCAUGUGCAGCAUCUAAAGCAAUUUAUGAGCUCCAAAGAACUUGCAUGGCUCCCUGUCUAUAGCACUUCUGGUGGUUAUAGCUCCCACAGCUUCUCUCUUAGGCCAGCUUUGCUCCCUCCUUGCAGCUUUCUUAGAUGACCCACAGUCCUGGCUUUUCCAAACUUCUGGAAUCUUAAAUGCACCUUCAGUUUCACACUCACAGCUUUACCCACUGCCAUCUCAGGGGCACGUUGCCUGGCCUCUCAGAUCUUCUGAAAUUGAGUAGAAGCAUUUUUAACAUCAUAACGUUUGCAUUCUACAUGUACCUAAAACCAGCACCACGUGGAUGAUGUCAUAAUUUGCUACUGGCUGGAGCAGUAGCCAGGCUUCCUUCUCUCUUGGCUUUAGGGGUUGAGUGCCUGGAUUGCUGGGCACUCUGAAUCUAAUUCUGAGUAACAAAUUCUCUGUGCUGCCACCAUUCUGGAACAUGGUGCUCUGUGGUUUUCUCUUUAAAGCAAAGUCUUUCACUUUUGCAGUUUUGAGCCUGCAACGGGUGGAGUCUUGCUGCUUCUUGUGAUGCUCUCAGGCCAUUUUUUUAUUCUUCUAAUCCUCAUCUGCAGUUGGGAUCUCCUCAGCUCUAUCUUUGUAAUCCACAGCUUUCCUGGAGUUUCCUUUCUGGCCAAACUCACAAUCUUUUAAAUCAUCUUUUUGGGCUCUCUGCUCUUGAUUUUCAACAUAAAUCUGGCCAAAAAUCCCCAACUGUAGCCAGGUCACCACCUCAACAUUCAACUGCCUUGAAAUUUCUCCUGUCAGAUUAAUUAGUCCACUGCCCUUAAUCUUAGUCUCAAGAAGUUUCUGAACAUGAGCAAAAUGCAGACAACCUUCUGCCAACCAUAACAUACAUCAUCUGGAGACCAGCACCCAAUGCAGUCCUUUCCAGUAGAAACCUCCCAAGCCUGGUCUUUACUUGGCAGGAUUUCUAUCAGCCUUCUGUUCUUCUGAGCUCUGACCAGAAUCUCCUAUACAGAACAGCCUAAGGCUUGCCAGCACUACUCUUUCAGGAAACGUUUCAGAACCUUUCUAAACUCUUCUCACAAGCUAUUCCCAAAGGUUCUUAUACCACAUGGUCUGGUACAGUCAUAGCAACAGCCCCACUCCACUAGUACCAAAUUCUGUCUUGGUUACUUUUCUCUCAUUGCUGAGACAGAAUACCUAACACCCAAAAUUAAGGAAGGAAAAGUUUGUUUAGCUCACAGUUUGUGGGGAUUUCAGUCCCUAAUAAGCUGGUUCCAAGGCAGGUGGCAUGGCAUAGGGACAAUACUUUGAGGAGGCAAAAAACAAAAAAGGGGGAAAAAAAAACCCGAGCCUCUUCUCCUCCCUUAUAUUGUAAGCAGGCUACCAUCCCCCACCCCAAGGCAGGUAUAGCACUUAGACCACCUCUAUGCUGUCCUCUUCACAGGCUGAGGAUGUUUACAAAGUGAGGACCCUGGAUCCUUGCUGAGUCUCUUAAACUUCUAAACUUCUCAAAUUGACACCAUGUAUCAACCGUUAUAAAUACAUAUACAGGAAUUUCUUUUUUUUCUUGUCUUAAAUAAUUGAUGUAUGUUUGACAAAUAAAAAGUGUGUACAUUUGAGUUGUACAGAAUGCUUUGAUAUACAUUAUGAAACAAUGAUUAUAGCCAACCAUCAUCUCCUAUUGCUACCAUUCAUAGGGUUUUCUGUAACCAGAAUUCCAAGUGCUUUGCAUAUAACAACUAAUUUGAUUCCUGCAGUAAUUCUACUUGGAAGGCAUGUUUUUUUUAUUAUUCCCAUAAGAACUCCAUUAGUUAGGCACUAUUAUACCCCUUUCACAAAAAGAACAAAAACGUAAAGAAGUGGACAUUUCCUAAAUCACACAUUUGGUGACUUAGGUAAAUAGAUUCAAACUCAGAUUUGCCUUCUCUGGAUUCACAUCCAGAUCUUGUUCCCUUCACCUUUAAUAUUCAAAUAUGGUCACCCUAAAUGGGUUGGAAGAACCUAGAGAAGGGGGCUGGAGGUUUAGCUCAGUGGCAUAAGCGCCUGCCUUGUAAGCAGGCAGUCAUGAGUUCGAUCCCCGGUACAAAAAAAAAAAAAAAAUAGUUAUUGGGAAAGUGUGUGCAUUCAUUAUUUUGCUUCUGUAAUGAUAUUUGACUUCAGUGAUGUGCCAGUAAUGUGGAUAUCUGGGCUGGGGCAGAGCCUGGCUUGUAGCAUUUGCCCAUGUCCGUAGUGUAAAUAUUCUACUAUGGCAAAUUUCAAGAUUCCAACCAUCUGAUAAAUUGCUGCACAUGAAAUAAUUAUCUCUUGUAAAGUUAGAUUCAGCAAACCAUGGUUUGGACCAAAGUAACAGAUAAUUCUGUACUUUCUGGAAAUCAUAUUGUUUUCUACCAAAAGGAGGGAUCAGAAAUAUGGCAAAUGGUUAGAUUUAAAAUUUUAUUAUAACUACAUGUUCAGUAAAAGACACAUUGACAUUAGCCCCCCUCAAAAUACUUCCCUUUACUUCAAAUACACAUACCCCUCCUUCUUGCUGUUUUCUGAACUGUAUAUGGUGACCCUAUUUCAUGAGUGCCUUUCUGAGGUCUGAUAAAUGCGAUGAAUCCUGCUGUGGCGUGCCAUCCAAAGGAAACACAGGCUUGUAAAACUGUCAUGGUGUGUUCUCAUCUACCUUUUCACCAGUUCUGGCAACAUGAGACUUCUGGCUCUUCCUCAAACUCAAAAUGACCAUGAAAAGCAAAUUGAUUCAGGACAUCAAAGCAACCACAACAGUGCAACUAAAGACACAGAAGAGGCCUUUCAGAACUGCUUCUGAUGAUGGGAUGAAUGUGUUCAAAGGGAAAGAGCAUUAUGAGGGGUCUGAAUAUCAAUGGGUCCUUUACUGUAAUAAUUGUUUUUAUUUAAACACAUACAAUAUUUUUCAAUCACAUCAUGUACAUAGAUAGUUGGCCCUCGUGAGUAGAUGUGAGUUUCAAAGCCACAGAUUCAAUUAACUGCAGAUCAAAAAUAUUUUUAAAAUGUUAUCUGUACUAACCAUGUACAGACUUUUUUUCCACAAUUCAUUGCAAGCAAUCUAACAACUCCUUAAAUAGUAUAUUCAUCUAGAUGUGACAGGGGUGUCCAUUCUGUGGCCCACCAUUUUUUUGUAAUUUUUUCCUGAGUAAAAAGAAAUAGUCUUGAGCUGCAUAUAAAACAGAUAAUUACAUAUACAAGUAGCAAAACUUUCUUUUUAAAAUUUUUACUAUAGUGUUAAAAAAAAAUAGUACAAAAAAACCUGUAAGCCACGGGUUGGACAUGCCUGAGAUACUGCAGGUUAUAUGCAAAUAUUUUAUUAUGUCAUUUAUAUAAAGAAUUGGACCCGUGUAAGGAUUCCUGGAUCCAGCCCCCUAUGAAUACCAAGGAACAAUGACACAUUCAAGGCAGGCUUUGUAUUAGGGUCCUCCCAAGUUUAAAGGCCUUCAGUAGUCCCUGUAUCUUUUUCUGUAGUGACUCCCAAACUUUAUACUUCUACUUUUUGUAUGUAGUGACAAUGAUUUUACAUUUGCUGUUGUGAUUUUAGAAGACAGUUGACACAUCUAUAUAUCCCUUGACCAUCUAAGAAAUCUAACAAUUAUGGGUUGCUUUUUAAGUGAAAUGGCCCUGGGUUGACUGAGUAGGAGGUUUCGUCAGCCUGGAACUUACAUGUUUAUAUGUGCACAUGCACGCACAUAUACACACUCAUUAUCAGUUGCAAACCCUGUAUAAGCCAAAAGCAUGUACAAACACCUGAUGCUUAUCCACUGAGGUACGUACCUGGUCCUAAGGACUUUCCCGUAUUGUAGCUCUAUGUACAAUAUUUUGAGACCCCAACUGUAAUGAAAGGCAACCUAUAGUACAUGGUCACCAUGAGGUCACAAUAUAAAUUCAAAUUUAGCAAAUUAAAUGGCAAUUACUCUUUGAGAAACUAUGUAACUCUAAGGACAAUCACCAUGUUCUAUGUUAUUUAUUUAUUUACUUAUUUUUGGUACCUGGGUUCAAAUUCACCAGGCACUUGUGCCACUGAGCUAAAUCCCCGGCCCUCUAUGUAAUUUUUUUUUUAGACAUUUGGGAGGUGCUAAUUUGUGAAGCACAUAUAACCAAAUGAGUAAUUACACAGCAAGGGGGCUGAAAAGUAAUUGCAAAAUAAUUGCAUGCUAUUUGAUCCAUCCAUGAAAACGUGUUCAAUAGACUAGUCCCCUAAAUGAUUUCUUUUACCUAUGGAACACGUUCAAGCUAUUCUUUUUCCUUAGAUCUGUUUAACACUAAGUCAAACCUGAUUUGAUAAAAUAUACUAAAGUGUAGGCUGUGGUGUAGGUUAAAGAAUUAGCCAAGCAGCUUGUUUUUCUCUACAUUCUGUAAAUGUGAUUAACUUUUAAAAGUUGAUCAUUACAUGCAUUGUCUUUGGAAAAAUACACAGUAGUGUAGGAUUUUUUUGUUCGUUUAAUGUAGGGCUCUUUGUAACAUCUGCUUGUGUUCUCCUGGUUCUCUCUCUCUCUCUCUCUCUCUCUGUCUCUCUCACCUCCUUCCUUCCCCCACUUUUUACAGUCCCCCAUCCUCCCUUUCUUUCUCUUUCCUUCUCCCUAUCCCUCCUUUUUCUCUCUUUCCUGCUUACUUCAUUUCAAGAAUAGAAACUAAUGGAGAGCCAGAGAUAAAACUAAGUAAGUGUAUGUAUGUGUGCAGUGCUGGAGAGAGACCCUUGAGCCAGGCAACAGCACACAUUGGACAAAUCACUUCCCAUCCCUAUGGCAGGCUUAUAAAUUUCAAACUAGGACUGACUUUUGCAAGUAAAACGCACAAAUGCAUAAUUCAUGUGAAUGCACUUUUAAAAGUAUCAAAGUGCUACUUUAAAAUACAAGCACUAAUAUAAUAGUGGCUACUCCUUAAUAUUUCAAGAAAGGAUUCCUUUAAAGUGAUCUACGUGUACCACUGUCUCACACCUUCCAUCCUCACAACCACGGGACCCUCCCUCUCUCUGCUUUCAUCCUCUCUGCAACAAUUUCUUAUUCUAAUCCUGCUUAGCCAACGGUCAAGUGCCAAAAACUGCAAAAAGAUAAGUAUCUGGUAGAAAAAUCGUUAUUUUCCUCUUAACAAGAUAUUGAGUUAAUCUCUGUUUCACUUCCAUCUUUAGGGUUAUCAUUGAAGGAUAUAGCAUAAUCACGGCAUACAGAAUUGGCCUAAGGAUUAAAACCAGCAAGAACUAGACCUUUCCAACACCCCCUGUGCUUUUGCUAUACCUUGGAUGGUGACGAUACGAAGCAUAAUUAUAUCUGCAAGUGAUACUCGAGGUUUUCCAGCUGUUUGUGAAGUUAUCUACUGUGCUUCCAAAGUGUUUUGCCAGGGUGACUCCAAGUGUGGUCACCCUGGUCACCCAGGACAUGGUGUGACCGUGGAGAAUGACGGUCCUAGUGCAGACACAGGCUGACACUGCAUUUCCUUCACUUGGAUCUUUCCUGUCACUGAAGUUUAUGCCUUUGAUAAUUCAAAAUGGAACCAGCCACUUUUCAUUCACUUUAUCACUCAACACACCAGUGUUUCCAUGAUAAGUUAAGUAUUGUUACAACCUCAAAAAUGAUUGCCUGACUAUAAAACAGCAGAAGUAGUCAGCCUCCUUGUGUUAAGAAUACUAUAAUGAGAAAACCAGGAGAGAGCCAAUAAAACCAUGCAGAGUUUGGGUUCACAGGCUGAUAGUAAAUUAAAAGUUAUAUCGAUUUAGUAGAAGAACACAUUUGUGAAGACUAGACUUCUUAACAGAUUUAUGAAUGCCUUCCAGAUGCACAUCAGAUAAAUGAGCAGCCCUUAAGAUACAAGCAUUCAGUUUUGUAAACUUCUUUGACUUGUAAAUAUAGAUGCUACUGAAGAGGGACUUGUAAAUACAAAUACAUUUAAAACUUAAGUUUUAAUUAAGUAGGGUAUGGAUAGCAGGUAAAAAGGUGAAGGCAAUUUAUGUUAAAUAUUCUUUUAAGAAGGGCGAUUAACAAGUUCUCAUUAGAAAUGGUUUUUAAAGCCCACAUUUCCAUGAGUGAGGCCUUCUGGUGUUAUUUAUUUAAGAUGGAAACUUUCUGAAUACUUUAAGUGGCCAAAGAAUUCAGUUAGAAGUUGGAGAUGUGGGAGAUAGGAGGGCCACCUGAUGGAAUCUCAGACAAGACAGGAAAAGAGGCCAACAGCAAAGUGAGAAGUUGGCCUUGAGCCUCCUGUGCCCUCUGAGACAGAGGCAACAGUGGUACAGAUGCAGGAGGGUGCUCAUAGCUCCUGUCUGUCUGCAAUGUUGCAAGCAUACAUUCAUAUGGAAAAGGCAGAGACUGCCAUAUUUCUAGGCAUAGAUACUCUGAUACUUUUGUGUAGUCCAAGAUUUAAUAAGCUUUUUUAGUCAAAGAUCACUUUUCCUUGGGAAAUACUAUAGCACAGGGGUGAAUAAGGUUCAGACCUCAGCCUACCCACUUAUUAUCUGUAGAUCUUUGGUCAAAUUAUUUAGAAUAUGUAGUUUGAUCAGAAAUAAAGUGAGGAUAAUAAUAAUGCAUUCACCUCAGAUGAUUGCUCAGAGAAUGACAUGAGAUAGCUAACGGUACAUAUUCAAGGAAAUGUAAGUAUCAUUUCAAAUGCUCAUAUUAGGCUUGUUGUAAAUUAAGAUUAAUGAAUGUUCUCAUGGGUGUUAUUCAGAGACAUCUUCCUUAUUCUACAAUAUAGAUUUAUCCUGAGAGAUAAGACUGUAAUUUAACUUCCUUGAGUUCUACUGUUUAGAUUUAUUAUUCUAUUCUCCUGAGGUCUUUGUGAGUUCUGAAUUUAUCAUACAAUGUAUUUAUUGUCCACUCCAACAUAUACUACCUGCAAGUCUCAAGAGUCCUGAGACAGCCCCAGCUAGUUGCAUUCCUGACAUCCAUUUUUACCUUCUUUCUUAAUGACAAAGCCUUACUUUGGUUCUAGUAUAACAAUAGACUCAGCUAAAGUGCUCUAUCUCCCAGCAACACUUGCAGCUAGGAGUAGUCACGUGAUACAGUUCUAGCCAAUGUAGUAAAAGCAGAAGUUGCUGGCUAUGCUUGCAGGCAAGUCUAUUAAAGAGGCCAGACCUGUGAGAUUGAAAACCAGAUUCUAAGGAUGCUAGAGAAGAAGGGAAAGUAGCAUGAUACAUAAUGCCUGUGGCAGUCCCUUUUCUGUGUGCCUCUACGAUCCUUGUCAUAAAGUUUAAAACAAUUGUUUAAUGUCAGCUCUGUCACCAGAGUUCUAGUACCUUCACCCAGUACAAUUCCCCCUACUUGCUUUAGAUACCAUCUUUAGUAGCCUCAAAAUAUUUGGAGGCAGAAAAAAGAAACUUAAACAGAACAAAGAUAACAAUAAAACACCCUGGUAUGUGAUUAUAACCAUUCUCCAGAUAAUUGUUUUUGCAUUAAUAUCUUACUUUAUAAAAAUAGACAUGUCAAAAGGCAGUUUUAAUCUGUGUCAGCCUUCCCUUGAUCAUUAGAUCAUAUGGAUUGACACACAGCCUUCCCUUAUUCUGGAUGGAUGCCUCCAAGAUAAAUUUGUAAAACUAAAAGUACUCUUGCAAAAAUCCUCUUUUACAGAUAAGGAAACUGGGGCUCGGGUGCUUCAUUGCAUCUCAGGCAGCUAUUUAUAGAGCUGAGUCAUCCUUAUAUUGUAUUCUACUGCCCCACACUGAAUAAGUCAGACAAGCCUUCCUUUUGUAUUACAUUUUCUCUUCAAGAUCUCAUUUUCUUUAUCCCAAAUUGUAUCAUUAACCUUUUGAGUAACCUUGGGCAUUCGUGAAAGAUUAAAGAAAAUUUUUUUGCUCUUGUACUUUGCUCUGGUACUUUAGCUCUGAGUACAUAAGUACCCUGCUCAGAGUCCCAGAAAAACAGAGGGAGUAGCAAAAGAACACUAACAUGCUUUUGCAACUGUAGUAGCCACAGUGCCAAAAAGGAAACAGGCUGAUAAAGGAUCUAGAUUCCCCCUUUGAUCCAAUCUCCAAACGGGUCAAUUACCCUGACUCCCAUUGUGGCGUUCUUGGUAUGAAUCUCAGUGUGAAAGACCCCGUCCUCUUUGGAAGUGAGAAACAUUUGUAAACGUUUCUUACCACCCUGAUGUAGGACAUAUUGGCAUAAACAUUUCCUUGAUACUGAAAAACUGUCUCCAACUGCUGCAGCUGCUCCGUCCAGGACAGACACAGGGAGAGAUUAGAUAUGGCAUUUGCACCUGGCCAGUCAUAAACUGCUCCUUGGUAGCAUGCAAAGGUUAACAGGCCCAAUUCCCUUUUCUCCUUAGACCCAGAAUGUUGAAACAUGAAAGAGAGCUGUAAUUAUUUAUAAACAAUAAAAGCUUCUGUGGCGUGUA
Long non-coding RNA from Cavia porcellus (domestic guinea pig), 12773 nucleotides. RefSeq lists it as uncharacterized. Lineage: Eukaryota; Metazoa; Chordata; Mammalia; Rodentia; Caviidae. The record is from RefSeq and is a predicted model, not a curated record. The transcript is spliced from 3 exons.